This 496-nucleotide ribosomal RNA is filed under the name uncultured bacterium. Its description in RNAcentral is "partial 16S ribosomal RNA". It matches the Rfam family "Bacterial small subunit ribosomal RNA", at positions 29 to 507 of the family's 1533-position model. The record is from RNAcentral.
AUGAACGCUGGCGGCGUGCCUAAUACAUGCAAGUCGAGCGAACAGACGAGGAGCUUGCUCCUCUGACGUUAGCGGCGGACGGGUGAGUAACACGUGGAUAACCUACCUAUAAGACUGGGAUAACUUCGGGAAACCGGAGCUAAUACCGGAUAAUAUAUUGAACCGCAUGGUUCAAUAGUGAAAGACGGUUUUGCUGUCACUUAUAGAUGGAUCCGCGCCGCAUUAGCUAGUUGGUAAGGUAACGGCUUACCAAGGCGACGAUGCGUAGCCGACCUGAGAGGGUGAUCGGCCACACUGGAACUGAGACAUGGUCCAGACUCCUACGGGAGGCAGCAGUAGGGAAUCUUCCGCAAUGGGCGAAAGCCUGACGGAGCAACGCCGCGUGAGUGAUGAAGGUCUUCGGAUCGUAAAACUCUGUUAUUAGGGAAGAACAAAUGUGUAAGUAACUAUGCACGUCUUGACGGUACCUAAUCAGAAAGCCACGGCUAACUACGUG